UAUAAACUUCCUCCCUCUCCUGUAUAAACCCCCAAGCUACAAACAAAGAAGUGUUGCUUCAAGAAAACAGGCACAGCACAUAUUUCUCUGAACUGGUGAUGACUCAACACUGGUUGAGAAGAAGGCAGAGCUGUGAUGACACCUCUGACACACAGUGUUGAUCAUCUUCUCUACUGGCUGAACUAAAAGAGGAAUCUCCAAACCUGGAAAACUCCAAGACCACACAGUUGCCAAGGAGGGCUAGAAAAGAACUUGCUGCUCCAACAGAGAAUACGUAUCUGGACUUCCUGAGCAAAAACAAGCUCAGGAGCAUUGCCAGGAUCUGAAUGCAGCUCAUUCUUGAUGAAUCCAGGGAGGGGUGGUCUGGAACCUAUCAGAUUAAAUUGGAUGAAGCUCUAGGAAAGACCAGACUAAGUCAAGGAGAAGCAUGAUGUGGAAGGGGAGAACCAGGACAGAGUGUUCCUUAACAUGGAAUAUGCCUGAUUCAAGCCGGAAACUUGGCAGACCUGACCAAGAAAACACAGGAUCAGACUGCCCAACAUCUGCUCAAAAUUACCUGUGGUCCAGCAAUCAAGAGGUGCUAAUGUCCAGCCCCACUUUUACUGCUGUUCAGCACGAAACCAGCCCAAACCCUCUAAAGGGCACCAUUGAUGCCAUGUCUUCCCACCAAGGCAAGAACAAGUCACUAAUUGGAUCACCUGCCUGGAGGUCUGAUGAAUGCACUGAUAUUUUAGGCACUUCAGCCUGAAGGAGGAAUUUAAGGAAAGAAAAAAAGCAUUUGAAGUGUGAUGUGGCAACUACUGGGUGUCAGGAAAAAAGGGAAAAGAAGGAAUAGGUACUAUUAACAGUGAAAUAAAUCAGGUGGGCUAUUACAGAACAGUUCAAAUGGUCAGACAAAAAGGCUGAUUAGGUGGUCUCUUAGAAUGAGCCACUAUGUAGUUUUGAUCAUUACCAGCCACUUCCUUUCACAGCAGAUAAUUUUUACUUCUGAGACAUGACUAGAAUACUUUGUGACAAAUUUAUCUGCAGUCCAGGCUUCAAUUUCAAUCUUAAAGAGCUCUGUUUUCAAAAAUAGCAUGUAAUUUCACAAAGUGCUUGGACACAAGCAAGUCAGCUGGUAAGAUGGCUACAGCUUGAAACUGCUGCCUGCAACUGACUCAAAUACUUUAUAUUGCUAGAUAGAGAAAGCCUCGCAAGAAACCGAAGGUCAUUUUACUACUGGAUGGCUGUCCUGCACAAGAUAACAAGGCAGACCACACCUCUUUUGAAGCCAUAGAAGUGAUGGGCCAAAGGAAAGGUAGAGAAUAGUUUCACCAUUAUGCCUUAAAAUGCGGUCUGAGGUGAUUUCUUCAUGCUGACUGUGAGUGAUUUCUUUGUUCUCACACAUUUACAAAAGCAUAAACACAUAUCAGAAAACUGAAGCAAGACACAGCCAUUAAGGAAAUCCCUUGGAUAUAGGAUUAAAAGAAUGCUUAUUGAAAAUACUGUAAGCAUUUGUCAUUAGAUCAAUAUUUCUGCUGGAGGAAAGAAGAGGCUAGGAGAAAGUGCGUGUUGCACUUAGUGCUGACAGAGAGAGUAGCAACUGCCCCUCCUAAGAGCAAUCUAUUAGUCCAUUUUCUAUAAAUCUGUUGGGCAACUUGGAUCAAUAGUUUCUUCUGGAACACCUGAGGGUUAUUAGACCUCUUUUCCAUCACAUACUUUUUAUACUGGCUUAGUCUAUUUAGGCUAAGUGUGUCAGUUUGCAUAUCUAUCCUUAGAACUAAUCUGAAAUAAUGAUGCAAUAACAGUUUUAAGGAUAGACCUUUUUUUGUCAUAUAAAUCUUCUAGGUUUUAAAUUAUACAGUGGCCCAGUGGCUCUUUAGAGGUCUUGCACUCACUGACUGAUAAGGUUUAGGUCCCUGAGGUCCAAAAUUAACUGCACUGUACCAUGCAUUAUGGCUGCAUCGCAGAGCAAUUUUAUCAGGAGUAGGAGACACAGCAGAAUUACGCAAGUCUGUAGUGUUAUCAAUAGGAAGUGAUGACUCACCCAGCUAGUGCUUUCAAAGUGGCAAUAUCCUAUACACUGAAAGUAUGUUUUGAGGGCGAUAAGUGACCCCAUUGCCAGGAAUAGGUGAAGGAGUGUCGGUGGCAAGAAAAGGGAAAAAUAAGUCUUUACAUAUAGCAUCCAGUAUUUCUGAUACCUGCAGAGAAAGCCUUACUUGUGAAGUGUGACCAUUAAAUUGCAUAGAGCUUUGCAAGCAUUAUCAGAGUGAUUUUUGAACUGAGAUGUCAUGCUUAUAAAACAAGUUUGAGUCAGUUUCCACAGAGCUCACUGACAAUAGUCUGAUCAUAUAAACACAGGCUGAUACAAGACCUGGGACAUGUUCAGAGUGUAGUGAUUAAAGAACAGCCUGAUUUAAAUGAGCAAUGAAUUAUAUUUAGAACAAUAGGUGAAAGAUGCUCAUGGAAGUUAAAAGGAAGAAUUCUCAGUGCUCCAAAUGAAUCCUAAAGAGGUAUGACAUGAUCUGGUCAGGUGCAAGCCAUUCUAUUCUGCCAUUCAAAGGUUUUGAAGACUUUAUAUGGAGCUCCAGAGACAGCAUUUGAUAAGCUUAGCUAUCCCUAUGGCACCCUUCCAAAUCUGUGUGAGGCCACGGAAAUUGAAGUUGCUCUCAGCUUUCUAUAGAGUAUAUUGCAUGCUAAGUAGAGCAAAGCAAAGUAGGUUUCUGCUAUGUGUCUAGACUUGGAUGGUAAAUGACUUUUUCAGAGGUGCAUUGAUUAGAAAAAUGACUGCUUGCCCUUGAGUCACUGCCAACCUCAGACUGACUUGAUAUCACUGAUGAAUACUGAUGCAAGAGGGAUGAAUAAACUUCUGCAGUAACAUUAGGUAUACACUCUCACUAAGAACUUUUUG
Long non-coding RNA from Melopsittacus undulatus (budgerigar), 2890 nucleotides. RefSeq lists it as uncharacterized. NCBI's taxonomy places the organism in Eukaryota, Metazoa, Chordata, Aves, Psittaciformes, Psittaculidae. The transcript has 4 exons. The record is from RefSeq and is a predicted model, not a curated record.